GAUGAACGCUGGCGGCGUGCCUAAUACAUGCAAGUCGAGCGAACGGACGAGAAGCUUGCUUCUCUGAUGUUAGCGGCGGACGGGUGAGUAACACGUGGAUAACCUACCUAUAAGACUGGGAUAACUUCGGGAAACCGGAGCUAAUACCGGAUAAUAUUUUGAACCGCAUGGUUCAAAAGUGAAAGACGGUCUUGCAGUCACUUAUAGAUGGAUCCGCGCUGCAUUAGCUAGUUGGUAAGGUAACGGCUUACCAAGGCAACGAUGCAUAGCCGACCUGAGAGGGUGAUCGGCCACACUGGAACUGAGACACGGUCCAGACUCCUACGGGAGGCAGCAGUAGGGAAUCUUCCGCAAUGGGCGAAAGCCUGACGGAGCAACGCCGCGUGAGUGAUGAAGGUCUUCGGAUCGUAAAACUCUGUUAUUAGGGAAGAACAUAUGUGUAAGUAACUGUGCACAUCUUGACGGUACCUAAUCAGAAAGCCACGGCUAACUAUGUGCCAGCAGCCGCGGUAAUACGUAGGUGGCAAGCGUUAUCCGGAAUUAUUGGGCGUAAAGCGCGCGUAGGCGGUUUUUUAAGUCUGAUGUGAAAGCCCACGGCUCAACCGUGGAGGGUCAUUGGAAACUGGAAAACUUGAGUGCAGAAGAGGAAAGUGGAAUUCCAUGUGUAGCGGUGAAAUGCGCAGAGAUAUGGAGGAACACCAGUGGCGAAGGCGACUUUCUGGUCUGUAACUGACGCUGAUGUGCGAAAGCGUGGGGAUCAAACAGGAUUAGAUACCCUGGUAGUCCACGCCGUAAACGAUGAGUGCUAAGUGUUAGGGGGUUUCCGCCCCUUAGUGCUGCAGCUAACGCAUUAAGCACUCCGCCUGGGGAGUACGACCGCAAGGUUGAAACUCAAAGGAAUUGACGGGGACCCGCACAAGCGGUGGAGCAUGUGGUUUAAUUCGAAGCAACGCGAAGAACCUUACCAAAUCUUGACAUCCUUUGACAACUCUAGAGAUAGAGCUUUCCCCUUCGGGGGACAAAGUGACAGGUGGUGCAUGGUUGUCGUCAGCUCGUGUCGUGAGAUGUUGGGUUAAGUCCCGCAACGAGCGCAACCCUUAAGCUUAGUUGCCAUCAUUAAGUUGGGCACUCUAAGUUGACUGCCGGUGACAAACCGGAGGAAGGUGGGGAUGACGUCAAAUCAUCAUGCCCCUUAUGAUUUGGGCUACACACGUGCUACAAUGGACAAUACAAAGGGCAGCGAAACCGCGAGGUCAAGCAAAUCCCAUAAAGUUGUUCUCAGUUCGGAUUGUAGUCUGCAACUCGACUACAUGAAGCUGGAAUCGCUAGUAAUCGUAGAUCAGCAUGCUACGGUGAAUACGUUCCCGGGUCU
RNAcentral lists this ribosomal RNA (1372 nucleotides) under uncultured bacterium. RNAcentral describes it as "bacterial SSU rRNA". It matches the Rfam family "Bacterial small subunit ribosomal RNA", at positions 28 to 1381 of the family's 1533-position model. The record is from RNAcentral.